This 502-nucleotide ribosomal RNA is filed under the name uncultured bacterium. Its description in RNAcentral is "partial 16S ribosomal RNA". It matches the Rfam family "Bacterial small subunit ribosomal RNA", at positions 30 to 523 of the family's 1533-position model. The record is from RNAcentral.
AUUGAACGCUGGCGGCAGGCUUAACACAUGCAAGUCGAGCGGGGGAAAGUACUUCGGUACUGACCUUAGCGGCGGACGGGUGAGUAAUACUUAGGAAUCUGCCUAUUAGUGGGGGCCAACAUCUCGAAAGGGAUGCUAAUACCGCAUACGUCCUACGGGAGAAAGCAGGGGAUCUUUAUGACCUUGCGCUAAUAGAUGCGCCUAAGUCGGAUUAGCUAGUUGGUGGGGUAAAGGACUACAAAGUCGACGAUCUGUAGCGGGUCUGAGAGGAUGAUCCGCCACACUGGGACUGAGACACGGCCCAGACUCCUACGGGAGGCAGCAGUGGGGAAUAUUGGACAAUGGGGGGAACCCUGAUCCAGCCAUGCCGCGUGUGUGAAGAAGGCCUUAUGGUUGUAAAGCACUUUAAGCGAGGAGGAGGCUCUUUUGGUUAAUACCCAAGAUGAGUGGACGUUACUCGCAGAAUAAGCACCGGCUAACUCUGUGCCAGCCGCCGCCGUAA